Molecule: ribosomal RNA, 520 nt
Filed under: uncultured Glomus
Lineage: Eukaryota; Fungi; Glomeromycota; Glomeromycetes; Glomerales; Glomeraceae
Description: SSU rRNA
Rfam family: Eukaryotic small subunit ribosomal RNA
Source: RNAcentral
AGCAGCCGCGGUAAUUCCAGCUCCAAUAGCGUAUAUUAAAGUUGUUGCAGUUAAAAAGCUCGUAGUUGAAUUUCGGGAUUAGUACGCUGGUCGUGCCUUCGGUAUGUACUGGUGUUACUGGUUCCUACCUUCUGACGAACCGUCAUGUCAUUAAUUUGGUGUGGCGGGAAAUCAGGACUGUUACUUUGAAAAAAUUAGAGUGUUUAAAGCAGGCUCGCGCUUGAAUACAUUAGCAUGGAAUAAUGAAAUAGGACGUUCGAUCCUAUUUUGUUGGUUUCUAGGAUUGACGUAAUGAUUAAUAGGGAUAGUUGGGGGCAUUAGUAUUCAAUUGUCAGAGGUGAAAUUCUUGGAUUUAUUGAAGACUAACUACUGCGAAAGCAUUUGCCAAGGAUGUUUUCAUUAAUCAAGAGCGAAAGUUAGGGGAUCGAAGACGAUCAGAUACCGUCGUAGUCUUAACCAUAAACUAUGCCGACUAGGGAUCGGAUGAUGUUAUUUUUAAUGACUCAUUCGGCGCCUUAAC